This 164-nucleotide ribosomal RNA is filed under the name Euryops brownei. RNAcentral describes it as "5.8S ribosomal RNA". It matches the Rfam family "5.8S ribosomal RNA". From Rfam's summary of the family: 5.8S ribosomal RNA (5.8S rRNA) is a component of the large subunit of the eukaryotic ribosome. It is transcribed by RNA polymerase I as part of the 45S precursor that also contains 18S and 28S rRNA. Lineage: Eukaryota; Viridiplantae; Streptophyta; Magnoliopsida; Asterales; Asteraceae. The record is from RNAcentral. RNAcentral also lists the same sequence under 4 other names.
UAAACGACUCUCGGCAACGGAUAUCUCGGCUCACGCAUCGAUGAAGAACGUAGCAAAAUGCGAUACUUGGUGUGAAUUGCAGAAUCCCGUGAACCAUCGAGUUUUUGAACGCAAGUUGCGCCCAAAGCCUUUUGGCCGAGGGCACGUCUGCCUGGGCGUCACAC